GGAGGAGUCGUCGUCGUCGGCGGCGGCGCGGCGGCCGCGGUCGACGCCGAGCGCCGUGCUGGACAGGAUCGAGUCCCUGGCGGCGUACGACUGGUCCGGCCCGCUGAGGACCAGGGCGAGGAACUUCUACCGGCUGAGGGGCAGCAUUAGCGAGCACGGCCACCGCCCUUCCGACGACGGCAGCGUCGAGGGCGACUGGAUGUAGCGAUUCCAUCCCAUUCUGUAAUUGUAUAGCCCGCGCUAGGUGAUGCUUCUUCUCGAUCCGAUCCGAUCCCAUCCGAUUUUGAUGCCAAGAACCCCUGCACUGGUUCUAGAUCAUUUUCUAAUCUAGUAGUGGAUGAUGCGUCGUGCAUGCGUUUUGGGCCAGAGGUUUGUUUCCUUCUUUUCCGAGAGCGCGCAAACUAAGCACCUUGCCUCACUCUUCAAGGAGCUGCAAAGUUAAAGCUUCAGACGAGGACACUGAGUUUCUACGAAAUCACUAGUCAGCGAAUACACCUUUCAACGAUCACUUCCACCAUCACAGGUAGUGACAAGUGGCGCAGCAUGCGUGUCAUUUAUGCAACGUGUGAGUUUUUCUUUUUUUCGUAGAUCCGUAUUUUCAAAAUGUUUUAUCUCCUAAAUCGUGCGUUCAAAUCUCG
This 638-nucleotide long non-coding RNA is filed under the name Hordeum vulgare. RNAcentral describes it as "long non-coding RNA (HVUL_LNC005165)". The record is from RNAcentral. Lineage: Eukaryota; Viridiplantae; Streptophyta; Magnoliopsida; Poales; Poaceae.